This 509-nucleotide ribosomal RNA is filed under the name uncultured bacterium. Its description in RNAcentral is "bacterial SSU rRNA". It matches the Rfam family "Bacterial small subunit ribosomal RNA", at positions 19 to 518 of the family's 1533-position model. The record is from RNAcentral.
AUGGCUCAGGAUGAACGCUAGCUACAGGCUUAACACAUGCAAGUCGAGGGGCAUCAUAGUCAAGCUUGCUUGAUUGAUGGCGACCGGCGCACGGGUGAGUAACGCGUAUCCAACCUUCCCCUUAGUAGGGCAUAGCCCGGCGAAAGUCGGAUUAAUACCCUAUGUUGUGUCAUGAGGACAUCUGAAUAACACUAAAGAUUUAUCGCUAAGGGAUGGGGAUGCGUCCGAUUAGCUUGCCGGCGGGGUAACGGCCCACCGGGGCGACGAUCGGUAGGGGUUCUGAGAGGAAGGUCCCCCACACUGGUACUGAGACACGGACCAGACUCCUACGGGAGGCAGCAGUGAGGAAUAUUGGUCAAUGGGCGAGAGCCUGAACCAGCCAAGUAAGCGUGCAGGAUGACGGCCCUAUGGGUUGUAAACUGCUUUUAUGCGGGGAUAAAGUGACGUACGUGUACGUUUUUGUAGGUACCGCAUGAAUAAGGACCGGCUAAUUCCGUGCCAGCCGCCGC